GAGCUCAUCACGCUUCACAAGGAUUCUGACUGGUUUGUUCAUGAAUUUACGAGUAAUCUCCAGGGCCUCAGGUGGCAUGGUGGCAGAGAAAACACCAACUUGAAUUUUGGGGGGGAGCAGCUGGAAGAUGUCAUAAAUCUGAUCCUUGAAACCACGAGAAAGCAUCUCAUCUGCUUCAUCAAGAACAAACAUUUUGAUGUAAUCCGGACGGAGGGAUUGCCUCCUUAGCAUGUCAAAAACACGACCAGGCGUGCCAACGACCACAUGAACCCCACUUUGGAGUAUCCGUUGAUCCUCCCGAACACUGGUUCCUCCAACACAAGCAUGAACCUUAACUCCAAGAUAAUCACCAAGUGCCCGCAUGACCUUUUCAAUCUGCUGAGCCAGCUCUCUAGUUGGAGCAAGAACCAAAGCCUGGCAGUCGACCAAUCCAUAAUCAAGCUGCUGCAGGAUUCCAGAACAGAAAGUUGCAGUUUUC
Molecule: unclassified non-coding RNA, 478 nt
Filed under: Hevea brasiliensis (rubber tree)
Lineage: Eukaryota; Viridiplantae; Streptophyta; Magnoliopsida; Malpighiales; Euphorbiaceae
Source: RNAcentral